CACCCCUUUUCUUCUUUCCCCUUCUGCCGGUGAACUAUUUCUCUCUCUAUAAACACAACUAUUUCUCUCUAUCUCAAACUUCAUCUAUCACCACCACCAUCUCCCACCUCCCACCACCGCCGCUGGGGACCCUAACUUGCAUUUUGUUGAGUCUCAUGCUCUAGCUCCUCCGGAAGUGCAAAUUGACAUUGUUGCUCAACAACAGCAUGAAGCUGAGCUUGCUGCAGCUUCCAGCCAGCCUCUUCCAGAUGAUGACGAUGAUGCUUUUGAAUAGAUAUAAAAUUUGAAAGAGUUUGUGGGAUUUGAGAGUUUUUCUGUUUGUGGAUUUUUGGAUUUUGAUUAUGAUUAAGAUGU
Helianthus annuus (common sunflower) is the source of this 354-nucleotide long non-coding RNA. RefSeq lists it as uncharacterized. The record is from RefSeq and is a predicted model, not a curated record. The transcript has 3 exons. Lineage: Eukaryota; Viridiplantae; Streptophyta; Magnoliopsida; Asterales; Asteraceae.